This 333-nucleotide ribosomal RNA is filed under the name Triticum aestivum (bread wheat). RNAcentral's name for it is "partial small subunit ribosomal RNA". The record is from RNAcentral. Lineage: Eukaryota; Viridiplantae; Streptophyta; Magnoliopsida; Poales; Poaceae.
AUGAAAUACAUUCCUAACUACUUCGGAAAGGCUCAGCUCUCCAAGAUGUUCUUCCUGUUCCCUGAUCCUCACUUCAAGGAGAAGAACCACCGGAGGAGGGUGAUUAGCAUGCAUUUGCUCGAUGAAUACGCUUACGUGAUGGAAGUGGGAGGAAUCAUAUACACUAUUACUGAUAAGCACCCACUCUUCGAAGCUGUUCCCGAGGAAGAGAUAAAAGUCGAUCCAGUUGUGAAGCUACUGUCUAGUGCCACCGAAGAAGGUCAGAAGGUCGCGCGGAAUGGAGGGCAGACUUUCCAGGCCAUCUUCAGGCGCAUCUCCUUGCAAGAGGAAUAA